Molecule: ribosomal RNA, 254 nt
Filed under: uncultured bacterium
Lineage: Bacteria
Description: partial 16S ribosomal RNA
Rfam family: Bacterial small subunit ribosomal RNA
Source: RNAcentral
UACGUAGGCAGCAAGCGUUGUUCGGAGUUACUGGGCGUAAAGGGUGUGUAGGCGGUUAUUUAAGUUUGGUGUGAAAUCUCCCGGCUCAACUGGGAGGGUGCGCCGAAUACUGAAUGACUUGGAGUGCGGGAGAGGAAAGUGGAAUUCCUGGUGUAGCGGUGAAAUGCGUAGAUAUCAGGAGGAACACCGGUGGUGUAGACGGCUUUCUGGACCGUAACUGACGCUGAGACACGAAAGCGUGGGUAGCAAACAGG